This 432-nucleotide ribosomal RNA is filed under the name uncultured bacterium. Its description in RNAcentral is "partial 16S ribosomal RNA". It matches the Rfam family "Bacterial small subunit ribosomal RNA", at positions 29 to 506 of the family's 1533-position model. The record is from RNAcentral.
AACGAACGCUGGCGGCAUGCCUAACACAUGCAAGUCGAACGAGACCUUCGGGUCUAGUGGCGCACGGGUGCGUAACGCGUGGGAACCUGCCCUUAGGUUCGGAAUAACUCCCCGAAAGGGGUGCUAAUACCGGAUAAUGUCUUCAGACCAAAGAUUUAUCGCCUUUGGAUGGGCCCGCGUUGGAUUAGCUAGUUGGUAGGGUAAAAGCCUACCAAGGCGACGAUCCAUAGCUGGUCUGAGAGGAUGAUCAGCCACACUGGGACUGAGACACGGCCCAGACUCCUACGGGAGGCAGCAGUGGGGAAUAUUGGACAAUGGGCGAAAGCCUGAUCCAGCAAUGCCGCGUGAGUGAUGAAGGCCUUAGGGUUGUAAAGCUCUUUUACCCGGGAUGAUAAUGACAGUACCGGGAGAAGAAGCUCCGGCUAACUCCGU